UGCAGUCGAGCGGACUGAUGGGAGCUUGCUCCCUGAUGUUAGCGGCGGACGGGUGAGUAACACGUGGGCAACCUGCCUGUAAGACUGGGAUAACUCCGGGAAACCGGGGCUAAUACCGGAUAACCCGUUCCACCUCAUGGUGGAGCGGUAAAAGAUGGCCUCUGGCUAUCACUUACAGAUGGGCCCGCGGCGCAUUAGCUAGUUGGUAAGGUAACGGCUUACCAAGGCGACGAUGCGUAGCCGACCUGAGAGGGUGAUCGGCCACACUGGGACUGAGACACGGCCCAGACUCCUACGGGAGGCAGCAGUAGGGAAUCUUCCGCAAUGGACGAAAGUCUGACGGAGCAACGCCGCGUGAGUGAUGAAGGUUUUCGGAUCGUAAAGCUCUGUUGUUAGGGAAGAACAAGUGCCGUUUGAAUAAGGCGGCACCUUGACGGUACCUAACCAGAAAGCCACGGCUAACUACGUGCCAGCAGCCGCGGUAAUACGUAGGUGGCAAGCGUUGUCCGGAAUUAUUGGGCGUAAAGCGCGCGCAGGCGGUCUCUUAAGUCUGAUGUGAAAGCCCACGGCUCAACCGUGGAGGGUCAUUGGAAACUGGGAGACUUGAGUACAGAAGAGGAGAGUGGAAUUCCACGUGUAGCGGUGAAAUGCGUAGAUAUGUGGAGGAACACCAGUGGCGAAGGCGACUCUCUGGUCUGUAACUGACGCUGAGGCGCGAAAGCGUGGGGAGCAAACAGGAUUAGAUACCCUGGUAGUCCACGCCGUAAACGAUGAGUGCUAGGUGUUAGGGGUUUCGAUGCCCUUAGUGCCGAAGUUAACACAUUAAGCACUCCGCCUGGGGAGUACGACCGCAAGGUUGAAACUCAAAGGAAUUGACGGGGGCCCGCACAAGCAGUGGAGCAUGUGGUUUAAUUCGAAGCAACGCGAAGAACCUUACCAGGUCUUGGACAUCCUUUGACCACUCUA
This 966-nucleotide ribosomal RNA is filed under the name Alkalihalophilus pseudofirmus. RNAcentral's name for it is "bacterial SSU rRNA". It matches the Rfam family "Bacterial small subunit ribosomal RNA", at positions 56 to 1002 of the family's 1533-position model. Lineage: Bacteria; Bacillati; Bacillota; Bacilli; Caryophanales; Bacillaceae. The record is from RNAcentral.